CCCUGGGUGGCACAGACAGCAAAAGCAUUUGGCUGCUAACCAAAAGGUUGGUGUUCGAACCCACCCAGAGG
RNAcentral lists this transfer RNA (71 nucleotides) under Loxodonta africana (African savanna elephant). It matches the Rfam family "tRNA". From Rfam's summary of the family: Transfer RNA (tRNA) molecules are approximately 80 nucleotides in length. Their secondary structure includes four short double-helical elements and three loops (D, anti-codon, and T loops). The record is from Rfam by way of RNAcentral. Lineage: Eukaryota; Metazoa; Chordata; Mammalia; Proboscidea; Elephantidae.